UAACUUGUUAAACUUUUCAAAAAAAUAAACGCUAAUAACGUAAUUAAAGCUGAUUUUGCACCUCGUGCAAUUGCUGCAUAGUUUCAGCAACAGCCACUCUAUGAGCCCAACUUGCCGGUUUAUAGGGUAAAUUAUGCAAGUACAGCGUAAGUUUUCAUUUGGCGAUUUACGUCAAGUCAUAGUCAGAUGAAGUUGAUAUACUUUAAAAAUAUCUUUGAACUUUGAUUGGUUGCGGUAAUUUUCCUGUUAAAGUUUGAGUAUAAAAGUGCCUAUGAAUGUAGAUAUCAUUUCGGUAUCAUUUCGGACGCGAGUUCGACUCUCGCCAUCUCCA
Molecule: transfer-messenger RNA, 331 nt
Filed under: bovine gut metagenome
Rfam family: transfer-messenger RNA
About the family: Bacterial tmRNA, also known as 10Sa RNA or SsrA, is named for its dual tRNA and mRNA-like properties. Its role is to liberate the mRNA from a stalled ribosome.
Source: RNAcentral